GACGAACGCUGGCGGCGUGCUUAACACAUGCAAGUCGAACGGAAAGGCCCUGCUUUUGUGGGUUGCUCGAGUGGCGAACGGGUGAGUAACACGUGAGUAACCUGCCCUUGACUUUGGGAUAACUCCAGGGAACUGGGGCUAAUACCGGAGAGGAGCUCCUGCUGCAUGGUGGGGGUUGGAAAGUUUCGGCGGUUGGGGAUCGGUUGGCGGGUUAUCAGCUUGUUGGUGGGGUAGUGGGUUACCAAGGUUUUGACGGGUAGGCCGCCUGAGAGGGUGACAGGCCACAUUGGGACUGAGGUACGGCCCAGACUCGUACGGGAGGCAGCAGUGGGGAAUCUUGCACGAUGGGCGGAGGGCGGAUGCAGCAACGCUGCGUGUGGGAUGACUGUCUUAGGGUUGUAGACCGAUUUCGCCUGUAACGAAGCGUGAGUGACGGUAAUGGGUAAAGAAGCACCGGCUAACUACGUG
RNAcentral lists this ribosomal RNA (468 nucleotides) under uncultured bacterium. Its description in RNAcentral is "partial 16S ribosomal RNA". It matches the Rfam family "Bacterial small subunit ribosomal RNA", at positions 28 to 507 of the family's 1533-position model. The record is from RNAcentral.